CCUAUCGUGUAUAAUAAUAAAUUAUUCGCAUAUCACUUAAAACAAUUAAGAGAGAUUACCAAACAAAUUUUGGUGGUAUUCAAGUUUUAAUAGAUAUUUUGAUUAUUUUCAAUUUAAUUAGUUAUUGAUUUUUUUACAACAAGUUUAUUAUAGAAAGUUACUUUCCAAAACAAUUCUUAUUCAAUGAUCUUAGUUUAUGUUAUUCGAUUAAUAAGUGAGUGUUUUAAUGAUUUUUCAAACAAUGUUAGUGAUAUAUCAACUACUAUAAAAGAAUAGUUUUACUAUAUAAAAGACAAAUGGUAUUGUAUGGCUUUAACAUAUCGCACAAAAAAAUAUUAGUCGCCAAUCAUUUUGAUAAUUGGUCAGAUAAAAGAAAAAUAGAUAUUAUUUUAGAAGCAACAACAGGUAUUAUUAAGAUAAAAGCAUUUUUCGAGGAAUAGAUUUCAUAACAUGAUACUACUUCAUAUGAACUAACUAAAAAAUCAAAAUCGAAAAAGUUGAUUAUUGCCAUUUUUUCUUUGUUUCCUUUAAAUUUAUAUUUAGUUACUUGCAGUAGAAUUAUCCUUUCUGUUUAUUUGAUGAAUGGUAUAAAUAUUUGUUUAUACAAUAGUUACGUUUUAUUAUAAA
Long non-coding RNA from Daktulosphaira vitifoliae (grape phylloxera), 627 nucleotides. RefSeq lists it as uncharacterized. The transcript has 3 exons. The record is from RefSeq and is a predicted model, not a curated record. Lineage: Eukaryota; Metazoa; Arthropoda; Insecta; Hemiptera; Phylloxeridae.